Molecule: ribosomal RNA, 220 nt
Filed under: uncultured crenarchaeote
Lineage: Archaea; Thermoproteati; Thermoproteota
Description: partial 16S ribosomal RNA
Rfam family: Archaeal small subunit ribosomal RNA
Source: RNAcentral
AACCUCUGCAAUAGGCGAAAGCUUGACAGGGUUACUCUGAGUGAUUCCCGCUAAGGGAAUCUUUUGGCAUCUCUAAAAAUGGUGCAGAAUAAGGGGUGGGCAAGUCUGGUGUCAGCCGCCGCGGUAAUACCAGCACCCCGAGUGGUCGGGACGAUUAUUGGGCCUAAAGCAUCCGUAGCCGGUCUUGCAAGUCCUCCGUUAAAUCCAGCUGCUUAACAGA